This 440-nucleotide ribosomal RNA is filed under the name uncultured bacterium. RNAcentral's name for it is "partial 16S ribosomal RNA". It matches the Rfam family "Bacterial small subunit ribosomal RNA", at positions 338 to 795 of the family's 1533-position model. The record is from RNAcentral.
CCUACGGGUGGCAGCAGUGGGGAAUAUUGCACAAUGGGGGAAACCCUGAUGCAGCGACGCCGCGUGAAGGAAGAAGUAUUUCGGUAUGUAAACUUCUAUCAGCAGGGAAGAAAAUGACGGUACCUGACUAAGAAUCCCCGGCUACCUACGUGCCAGCAGCCGCGGUAAUACGUAGGGGGCAAGCGUCAUCCGGAUUUACUGGGUGUAAAGGGAGCGUAGGCGGUUUAGCAAGUCAGAAGUGAAAGCCCGGGGCUCAACUCCGGUACUGCUUUUGAAACUGUUGAACUAGAGUGCAGGAGAGGUAAGUGGAAUUCCUAGUGUAGCGGUGAAAUGCGUAGAUAUUAGGAGGAACACCAGUGGCGAAGGCGGCUUACUGGACUGUAAAUGACGCUGAGGCUCGAAAGCGUGGGGAGCAAACAGGAUUAGAUACCCUAGUAGUC